This 570-nucleotide small RNA is filed under the name Pongo abelii (Sumatran orangutan). Its description in RNAcentral is "retained intron". The record is from RNAcentral. Lineage: Eukaryota; Metazoa; Chordata; Mammalia; Primates; Hominidae.
ACUUGCUCAUGGUCACACAGCAGGCUCCUUUUCGCCCUCUGCCGGCUGACAGUGGCAGAACCCAGCUUUCUGGUUGCUAUGGGUACCGAGGUAACGCGGUAACCAAGGAGACCAAGACUCAAACUCCCGGCAGCUAUCCGCGGCCAUCCGGCAGUGACUCGAGAGGCUGGGGUCUCCAGCCUUUAGUCUGCCUGCGCGCUCACAUGCACCCACUUCCUUCUGAAGUCUACUCCUCACAAGUAAAGGCUAUGGUGCGGGGUGCCUGAUUCCUGAGAAAUCUGAAGAUGUGGAAGUUUAUUUUUUUCUUCCCAAAAUCAGCAGUAGAGGGAAUCAGAAGUGUUUACAAAUCAGAAUAACUUUUAGACAAUAUUAAGGUGGUAAUCAUGAACAGAAAAGAUUUUGUAGUUCUUCCAUGGGGAAAACCUGGAAAUUCUGUAAAGCUAAAAUAUAGAAAUGCUCAAGAACUGCGAAUGGAGAAAGUACAGUUAGAGUUUGAGAACCAAGAGAUGGAGAAGAAACUGCAAGAAUUCCGAUCCACAAGAAGCAAAGAAAAGGAAGAAAGAGAGUGGG